This 279-nucleotide ribosomal RNA is filed under the name uncultured bacterium. RNAcentral describes it as "partial 16S ribosomal RNA". It matches the Rfam family "Bacterial small subunit ribosomal RNA", at positions 506 to 784 of the family's 1533-position model. The record is from RNAcentral.
UGCCAGCCGCCGCGGUAAUACGGAGGGUGCAAGCGUUAUCCGGAAUCACUGGGUUUAAAGGGUGCGCAGGCGGUCCGAUAAGUCAGAGGUGAAAGCCUACAGCUUAACUGUAGAAUUGCCUUUGAUACUGUCAGACUAGAAUAAGGUUGAGGUUAGCGGAAUGUGACAUGUAGCGGUGAAAUGCAUAGAUAUGUCAUAGAACACCAAUUGCGAAGGCAGCUAGCUGGGCCUUUAUUGACGCUCAGGCACGAAAGCAUGGGGAGCGAACAGGAUUAGAUA